This 750-nucleotide long non-coding RNA is filed under the name Dromaius novaehollandiae (emu). RNAcentral's name for it is "lncRNA (ENSDNVG00000001992.1)". Lineage: Eukaryota; Metazoa; Chordata; Aves; Casuariiformes; Dromaiidae. The record is from RNAcentral.
ACAACCUAAUAAGGUUAUGGGCUGUGACGAGCAUGUUGCAUGCACCUGGAAAUGGGAGAAAGGCAGGCGUGGAAUGAGCUUACCUGCUGCUCUACAUGAAAGCAGAAUUACUUUUAUAUUAUCUUGAUAAAACUAGUCAUCAACCUCUGUACAGCAGAAAAUCAACAUAGUCUGUAGACUUGGAAGUCGGGUUUUUUUCCACAUGCCUUUUCAUUUAUUUUCUGUCCCUUAUGAUUGCCUCUGGGGGAUAUUCCUGAUAUUGUCAUAUUGUUCCUCUGUGCUUGGUUCUCUGUAGCCUGCUGUUGGAGCUUGACUUAUAUUUGACUUUGGAACUCUUCAGACUUCUGUCUCCAAGAAGAUGAACUGUAACCUUUACUGCAGAGAGCUCCAUCAUGCCCAAGGAACAAAGAUGUUGACCACAGUCUUUCUUACACAAUUAAGUAAUCUUUUAGACAUUCUGACAAUAAACUGUGGACGGUCUGAAGGCCUCUCAGGGAAGGCUUCCCUCAACACACUGCUUCGUGGUCCCCUCUUGUGAACUGGCAAGGGCUGGAAAAUGCAACCACUGUGUGUUCUCUGUACAUCCUGAUUUUAAAACUCAUUUUCAGAAGCAGAAGAGGAACACUGCAGACUGGAUUUUCAAAUGUUCUGAAUCUCACAGACCACUGAAAAAGGUGCUGGGCUUUGUAUGAUCUUGUCUCUUGGCUCCUACACAGUAAGAGUUAUGUUCAAAACUUAAUGGCUGUGUGU